This 1511-nucleotide ribosomal RNA is filed under the name Klebsiella pneumoniae. Its description in RNAcentral is "bacterial SSU rRNA". It matches the Rfam family "Bacterial small subunit ribosomal RNA". Lineage: Bacteria; Pseudomonadati; Pseudomonadota; Gammaproteobacteria; Enterobacterales; Enterobacteriaceae. The record is from RNAcentral.
AGAGUUUGAUCAUGGCUCAGAUUGAACGCUGGCGGCAGGCCUAACACAUGCAAGUCGAGCGGUAGCACAGAGAGCUUGCUCUCGGGUGACGAGCGGCGGACGGGUGAGUAAUGUCUGGGAAACUGCCUGAUGGAGGGGGAUAACUACUGGAAACGGUAGCUAAUACCGCAUAACGUCGCAAGACCAAAGUGGGGGACCUUCGGGCCUCAUGCCAUCAGAUGUGCCCAGAUGGGAUUAGCUAGUAGGUGGGGUAACGGCUCACCUAGGCGACGAUCCCUAGCUGGUCUGAGAGGAUGACCAGCCACACUGGAACUGAGACACGGUCCAGACUCCUACGGGAGGCAGCAGUGGGGAAUAUUGCACAAUGGGCGCAAGCCUGAUGCAGCCAUGCCGCGUGUGUGAAGAAGGCCUUCGGGUUGUAAAGCACUUUCAGCGGGGAGGAAGGCGNUCGAUUGACGUUACCCGCAGAAGAAGCACCGGCUAACUCCGUGCCAGCAGCCGCGGUAAUACGGAGGGUGCAAGCGUUAAUCGGAAUUACUGGGCGUAAAGCGCACGCAGGCGGUCUGUCAAGUCGGAUGUGAAAUCCCCGGGCUCAACCUGGGAACUGCAUUCGAAACUGGCAGGCUAGAGUCUUGUAGAGGGGGGUAGAAUUCCAGGUGUAGCGGUGAAAUGCGUAGAGAUCUGGAGGAAUACCGGUGGCGAAGGCGGCCCCCUGGACAAAGACUGACGCUCAGGUGCGAAAGCGUGGGGAGCAAACAGGAUUAGAUACCCUGGUAGUCCACGCCGUAAACGAUGUCGAUUUGGAGGUUGUGCCCUUGAGGCGUGGCUUCCGGAGCUAACGCGUUAAAUCGACCGCCUGGGGAGUACGGCCGCAAGGUUAAAACUCAAAUGAAUUGACGGGGGCCCGCACAAGCGGUGGAGCAUGUGGUUUAAUUCGAUGCAACGCGAAGAACCUUACCUGGUCUUGACAUCCACAGAACUUUCCAGAGAUGGAUUGGUGCCUUCGGGAACUGUGAGACAGGUGCUGCAUGGCUGUCGUCAGCUCGUGUUGUGAAAUGUUGGGUUAAGUCCCGCAACGAGCGCAACCCUUAUCCUUUGUUGCCAGCGGUCCGGCCGGGAACUCAAAGGAGACUGCCAGUGAUAAACUGGAGGAAGGUGGGGAUGACGUCAAGUCAUCAUGGCCCUUACGACCAGGGCUACACACGUGCUACAAUGGCAUAUACAAAGAGAAGCGACCUCGCGAGAGCAAGCGGACCUCAUAAAGUAUGUCGUAGUCCGGAUUGGAGUCUGCAACUCGACUCCAUGAAGUCGGAAUCGCUAGUAAUCGUAGAUCAGAAUGCUACGGUGAAUACGUUCCCGGGCCUUGUACACACCGCCCGUCACACCAUGGGAGUGGGUUGCAAAAGAAGUAGGUAGCUUAACCUUCGGGAGGGCGCUUACCACUUUGUGAUUCAUGACUGGGGUGAAGUCGUAACAAGGUAACCGUAGGGGAACCUGCGGUUGGAUCACCU